CCCUUAGAUGUCCGGGGCCGCACGCGCGCUACACUGAAGGAAUCAGCGUGGCUUUCUCCCUGACCCAAAAGGGUUGGGAAACCCGUUGAAUCUCCUUCGUGAUAGGGAUUGGGGCUUGAAAUUGUUCCCCAUGAAUGAGGAAUUCCCAGUAAGCGCGAGUCAUAAGCUCGCGUUGAUUACGUCCCUGCCCUUUGUACACACCGCCCGUCGCACCUACCGAUUGGAUGGUCCGGUGAAGCCUCGGGAUUGUGGUUCUUGCCGCUUUAUUGUGGCGUGACCGCGAGAACUUGUCUAAACCUUAUCAUCUAGAGGAAGGUGAAGUCGUAACA
RNAcentral lists this ribosomal RNA (329 nucleotides) under uncultured eukaryote. RNAcentral's name for it is "partial 18S ribosomal RNA". It matches the Rfam family "Eukaryotic small subunit ribosomal RNA", at positions 1470 to 1796 of the family's 1831-position model. The record is from RNAcentral.